This 328-nucleotide ribosomal RNA is filed under the name uncultured bacterium. Its description in RNAcentral is "bacterial SSU rRNA". It matches the Rfam family "Bacterial small subunit ribosomal RNA", at positions 28 to 342 of the family's 1533-position model. The record is from RNAcentral.
GACGAACGCUGGCGGCGGUGCCUAACACAUGCCAAAGUCGAGCGGAGACAGUGAGUAGCUUGCUACGAGCUGUUUUAGCGGCGGACGGGGUGAGUAACGCGUGAGCAACCUUUCCCAGACAGGGGAAUAACACACCGAAAGGUGUACUAAUACCGCAUAAAGACCACGGGAUCGACAUGGUUCUGACGGUAAAAGAUUUAUCGGUUUGGGGUGGGCUCGCGUCCGAUUAGGUAGUUGGUGAGGUAACGGCCCACCAAGCCGACGAUCGGUAGCCGACCUGAGAGGGUGAUCGGCCACAUUGGGACUGAGACACGGCCCAAACUCCUAC